Molecule: ribosomal RNA, 1056 nt
Filed under: uncultured eukaryote
Lineage: Eukaryota
Description: SSU rRNA
Rfam family: Eukaryotic small subunit ribosomal RNA
Source: RNAcentral
CGGUAAUUCCAGCUCCAAUAGCGUAUGCUAAAAUUGUUGCGGUUAAAACGCUCGUAGUUGUACGUUCCUCCAGGGCACUCGGAUUUUUCGUACAGAAGGUUCCGAGUGGUCUGUGAAAUUAUCUUACAAAGCGGUCUCUUGCUGAGCACGCGGAAAGGGAUACUUGUACCUUGAAGAAAUUAGAGUGCUUCAAGCAGAUUAUUGUCUGAACAUUAUAGCAUGGAAUAGUUGGAGAAGACACUGGUUCUAUUAGAGAUUUGUAGAGCAGGUGUAAUAGUUGAGAGGAACAGAAGGGGGCACUCAUAUUCGCAUGUGAGAGGUGGAAUUCUUGGAUCUUGCGAAGGUGGACUACUGCGAAAGCAUUUGUCAAGAAUGUUUUCAUUAAUCAAGAACGAAAGUUAGGGGAUCGAAGACGAUUAGAUACCGUCCUAGUCUUAACCAUAAACCAUGCCUUUUGGAGAUCAGGUGAACCUCGAACGCAGAGGAUUCUGGCAUCCUAGGGGAAACUAAAAUUUUUGGGUUCCGGGGGGAGUAUGGUCGCAAGACUGAAACUUAGAGGAAUUGACGGAAGGGCACCACCAGGAGUGGAGCUUGCGGCUUAAUUUGACUCAACGCGAGAAAUCUCACCAGGUCCAGACAUGGGAAGGAUUGACAGAGAAGCAGCUUUUUCUCGAUUACAUGGGUGGUGGUGCAUGGCCGUUCUCAGUUGGUGGGGUGAUCUGUCUGGUUGAUUCCGAUAACGAACGAGACCUCGACCUACUAAAUAAUUAGCACUUUGCUGUAAGUGAUGAUUUCUUAGAGGGACUUUUCGUGUCCAACGAAAGGAAGUAUGAGGCUAUAACAGGUCUGUGAUGCCCUUAGAUGUUCUGGGCUGCACGCGCGCUACACUGACAUAGACAGAGAGAUGUUCCUAUCCGAGGGGAGUGGAGAAACUUGAGAGGAUAUGUCGUGAUGGGGAUAGUUUAUUGCAAUUAUUGAACUUAAACGAGGAAUUCCUAGUAAGCGUAUGGAAUGAACUUACGCUGAUUACGUCCCUGCCCCUUGUACACACCGCCC